UAGGUGUAGGCGUAGCGAAAGCGAGUCUUAAUAGGGCGUCUAGUCGCUGGGAAUAGACCCGAAACCGGGCGAUCUAUCCAUGGGCAGGUUGAAGGUUAGGUAACACUGACUGGAGGACCGAACCGACUACCGUUGAAAAGUUAGCGGAUGACCUGUGGAUCGGAGUGAAAGGCUAAUCAAGCUCGGAGAUAGCUGGUUCUCCUCGAAAUCUAUUUAGGU
RNAcentral lists this ribosomal RNA (219 nucleotides) under Schmidingerella taraikaensis. RNAcentral describes it as "partial Bacterial large subunit ribosomal RNA". It matches the Rfam family "Bacterial large subunit ribosomal RNA", at positions 657 to 875 of the family's 2925-position model. The record is from RNAcentral. Lineage: Eukaryota; Ciliophora; Spirotrichea; Tintinnida; Rhabdonellidae.